Lynx canadensis (Canada lynx) is the source of this 1376-nucleotide RNA transcript. It is a transcript of the gene named IZUMO family member 4, with no coding region annotated. The record is from RefSeq and is a predicted model, not a curated record. The transcript has 7 exons. Lineage: Eukaryota; Metazoa; Chordata; Mammalia; Carnivora; Felidae.
GGGCGGGGGCGGGCCAUGGCUCUGCUGCUGUGCCUCGGCCUGACCGCGGCGCUGGCCCGCGGCUGCCUGCACUGUCACGGCAACUUCUCGGAGAAGUUCUCCUUCUACCGCCAUCACGUGAAUCUCAAGUCCUGGUGGGUGGGCGACAUCCCCGUGUCGGGCUUGCUGCUCAGCGACUGGAGCCAGGACACGAUGAAGGAGCUGCACCUGGCCAUCCCCGCGGACGAUCACCCGGGAGAAGCUGAACCAAGUGGCGAACGCCGUGUACCAGAAGAUGGAUCAGCUGUACCAGGGGAAGAUGUAUUUCCCCGGGUACUUCCCCAACGAGCUGCGAGCCAUCUUUCGGGAGCAGGUGCACCUCAUCCAGAAUGCAAUCAUCGAAAGCCGCAUCGACUGUCAGCGUCACUGUGUGUGAGCGAGCCCCUGCCCGGUCCGUGGGGCACAGCGGUGGCGGCCAGCCCUGGAGGCCGAGGCGGGGGGAGCCUGCGGCCGCCUCUCCUGUGUUGCAGGCAUCUUCCAGUACGAGACCAUCUCCUGUACCAACUGCACGGACUCGCACGUCGUCUGCUUUGGCUACAACUGCGAGUCAUCGGCACAGUGGGAAACAGCUGUGCAGGGCCUCCUCCGGUACAUAAAUAAGUGGCACAAGUAAGUCCCCUGUCCCCAAACCCAGCAUGACUUGUAUCAGAGGCGGUGUGCUUAUGUGCCCUUGCGGGUGAGUAUGCGGAGGGCGGCCACGGGAGGCGGCACCUGCUCCAGUGCUCAGGACCCCAGCCCGCCCUUCCUCUGCGCUCAGCUGGCACCAGGGGGCGCAACACCCAAGUUAAAGGUUUCCAUAGAGUCUGGUCCUACCCCUGCCCUAAGCAGCUGGCAGGGCUGUGGUCAGAGCUGGGGUGGGGGGGGGGCGGCCCAUGAUGGAUGUGCCCCAGUGGAGGGACUUGGGGGCCACAGGCACAGCACAGCCCUAAAGCUUGGGUCUAACUGGGACCCUGUCAUGUCUUUCAGACAGGACGACCACACAAGGUAAGGCCCCCGCCCCGCCUGUUCUCUCCAAAACCCUGGCCUGGCCUUCUGGAGGGGAGCACGAGGGAGUCAGGAAAGGGGUGGCAUGGGGGCCUCUAAGUCAGGGAUGGACGGGGAGGGGCUGGCUAGGGAGACACAGCCGGCAGGGCUCUCUCUGCACCUGGGACAAGCUGGACGUCACCCCUGCAACCACACCCAAGUGACCACUUCGAAUAAACAUCGGACCUUCCUCCCCUCUCCUGGACGCACAGAACCGCUCCAGCUUUUCUGAUGUCACCAAGCUUCACAUGUCUUGAGCCCCCACACCUGGCCAACUUGACUCUGGAAAAUGCUUCCGAGUGCCUGACACAGCA